AGCUUUGCAGAGUGGCAGCAUAGCAGUCAGUGAGGUUUAUCUGGGGCAUGAUUACAGCUAAUUGAAAACUUUCCCCAAUACCCUGCGUGACUACUUGAAAUAUAGUUGGCAUUAGCAAUUCUAUAUUUCUCUACAGAUA
Molecule: small nuclear RNA, 139 nt
Filed under: Microtus ochrogaster (prairie vole)
Lineage: Eukaryota; Metazoa; Chordata; Mammalia; Rodentia; Cricetidae
Description: U4 spliceosomal RNA (ENSMOCG00000005549.1)
Rfam family: U4 spliceosomal RNA
About the family: U4 small nuclear RNA (U4 snRNA) is a component of the major U2-dependent spliceosome. The structure of U4 snRNA from yeast and human has been reported.
Source: RNAcentral